RNAcentral lists this ribosomal RNA (301 nucleotides) under uncultured bacterium. Its description in RNAcentral is "partial 16S ribosomal RNA". It matches the Rfam family "Bacterial small subunit ribosomal RNA", at positions 509 to 808 of the family's 1533-position model. The record is from RNAcentral.
CAGUAGCCACGGGAAUACGAAGGGUGCAAGCGUUACUCGGAAUUACUGGGCGUAAAGCGUGCGUAGGUGGUGGUUUAAGUCCGUUGUGAAAGCCCUGGGCUCAACCUGGGAAUUGCAGUGGAUACUGGGUCACUAGAGUGUGGUAGAGGAUAGUGGAAUUUCCGGUGUAGCAGUGAAAUGCGUAGAGAUCGGAAGGAACAUCUGUGGCGAAGGCGACUAUCUGGGCCAACACUGACACUGAGGCACGAAAGCGUGGGGAGCAAACAGGAUUAGAUACCCUGUAGUCCCUGUCUCUUAUACA